Molecule: unclassified non-coding RNA, 201 nt
Filed under: Scedosporium apiospermum
Lineage: Eukaryota; Fungi; Ascomycota; Sordariomycetes; Microascales; Microascaceae
Description: internal transcribed 2
Source: RNAcentral
UCAACCCUCGAACCUCCGUUUCCUUAGGGAAGCCUAGGGUCGGUGUUGGGGCGCUACGGCGAGUCCUCGCGACCCCCGUAGGCCCUGAAAUACAGUGGCGGUCCCGCCGCGGUUGCCUUCUGCGUAGUAAGUCUCUUUUGCAAGCUCGCAUUGGGUCCCGGCGGAGGCCUGCCGUCAAACCACCUAACAACUCCAGAUGGU